GUCUCUCAGUUCGGAUUGAAGCUAGUUUGUGGGGGAAUGCAUCAAAACACAGUAGUACCCCAUGAGAAACAGUGGGAUACAUAGAAUUGUGGGUCAUGUUGUGUUGUGUCCACUGCUUCCCAAACCAGAGAUGGGAGUGCACUGGAUGCAGAGUAAACGGGAGUGUGUGCACAGUCUAAACAUUUGUUUAGGGUGGCGUGCGCAUGUGCAUGCGUGUGGCAGGUGUAAGAAGCUCAGACUGUCCUUUUAGGAGGCAAAAUGUACAGACAGGUUUGCAACUCUUGCAGUCGUUUGGAAUAGCAGCGGCAACCAACCCAGCAAAAGCAAGACGAGCAAAAUGACAGUGGGGUGUCAUACUGCAGGGUUAAUUUAUUCUUUUGCUUUGUUACUGAAGUGUGUUUGCGAAGCCAUUUCAUAUGGCUAAUGGAGGUAUAACAUUAUCCUGGGGAGCUGCAUCUUUCCACUGGCCCAACGUCCGUUUGUUUUGUAGACCUCUGUGGGUUUUUGUGUGAGGUACAUGUCAGCAGUAGCUGGCUCAAUCUAUUUUGCUGCCCUGGGUGAAAGUUAUGUUUGCCCCUCCACACUUGCCCCUCUUGUAGUAUGAAGGGGAGGCUUCAGUGUAAAACAACAACACCUUUUGACCACCUUCCAACCUUGUCCCCACAGCUGGUUCUCUGGUAGAAUGAGGGCCAGUAGGGGCUGUAUACAAAACCUAAACAUCUGUUUACCCAUAACACACCAAUGCCUUUAAGAACACAGGUAGGCACAGAAAUUCAAAUCCACAGACACAUUAAUGCAAUUUUUUAAAAACCACGAAUAAUAAUUUUACGAAAUCAGUUCGAUUGGCAUUCAAAACCUAAAAGAUAUGUAUUUUAUUUAUUUAUUUAUUUAUUUUAAUGAGAGAGUCUUACCCUACAGGGAAUCAAGAAGUCCAUUUUCCAAAGUCAGGCUCUGAAGUCUGGGAGCAACCUGCAUGAGGCCAGUACACACCUUUUCCUGAGAACAAGGAAGCAGGAACAUACGGCCCAUUGCAACAGACAGACUCCAAAAAGAAAGCUCUGAAUUUUAGACUGGAUCUGAAUUUUGAAUAGUAGUUACCCCCAUGGUAUACAUUCAUUUAUACAUGUGUGUGUGUGUGUGUGUGUGUGUGGCAUGGAAGAUGUUCACAUUUGUAUGUGACCUUGGCUAUGCAGCUUUUGUGUAUUGAACGAGAUAAACACCUGUUGCUGUGUAUCCUAUAGGUGUGAUGUGCAAUGUGGCAGAGUAUGUACCUGUCUGUGUUAGAAACAAGGUGAGGUGCCAGCUUUAAUCCUAUCCUGCAACAUGAGACCCACUUUUUCAAAAAAAGAGAGACCAUUAUAUAUCAAUCUUUGUCUUGUUCUUUAAAAACAUGUUUUACGAAAUGGCGGUUCUUCUGCUGGCGUUACCUUAGGCUGCGGCACGACUCAGUUUUGUUUGUCAACCCCCAGACAAUAUUCUAUGUCACAUAAUCUAUGUUUGUAGAUUAAUGUACACAAUGGAUUUCUGCCAUGUUUAAAAUCUAAAUACCAUACCUAAAAUCCUAUCCAUAAUAAGUGUCUGGAGAUAAGUAAUACACAGGACUAAAGUUAGUUCCCAAAAUGGAAGGUGCUGAAACCCAGACUUUCAUGCAAGUUGCUUCCUCUAACUCAGAUCUCAUUCCCUAAUCCCACAUGUAGUCACCCAGUGGCAAGGGAAAAGACACUCUGUUUAGGCUCAAAGUCUUCCCUCCCUGUUGUUGUCUCUUCUGACUGAGGGCUCAACCAUACAGUUGCUUAAUGUGGAUUAUAAUUCUUCAUUGUCCAUAUGAACUUCUCCUCCGAAUCACUGCCUUCUCACAUUUUCUCCUCCCUGGAUUUUCUUACUCCACGGAUACACUGAAAAGGAGAUGGUAUAAGAAAAUGCAGAUUAAGGGAGGUGAAAGGGAGGAAAGGCACCGACUGGAGGAGAAAGUCGUGUGGACAGCCGAGAAUUAGUGAACGAACAGGAAGCUUACCGUCCAGGUUAAACGAUAGUAUGAAUGAGCUCUGAGCAUUAGUCUUGAAGGUGAAGGUGCCUCUCCCCAUCCCAAGUACAGAGGCCAACUGGACUGGCAGACAACAGGCUUGUGUCCCCCAUUGCACCCAAGGCAGCAAGGAACCACUAGAGGGUUGCUGCCCCCAGCAUCAGCUGUUUGUGAUGGUGGCCUUGCUGUGCCUAAAUGUCAGGGCUGGCCCUGGAGCCAUGACUUAAAUCAUUGCUUUUCAGACUGUUCCUGGACACCUUGGAAGCUCAACAAGUUCCUGGGUGGGAUCAGCAAGCUUCAUUGGAAGACAGCUUGCCCACCAUCCCCAGUCUUCCACUGCAGCCCUGGGAGAGGAUUAGCCAUGCUCCCAGUUUGUGUGAGUUCCAACGGGCCUGUGGCUUGAAGCGGGAUGCACCUAGGAUUGCUCACAACACACAGGCGUUCCUCAGCAACUGCUUCAGUGUGGUUCCUUGAGCUUGCAAAAGGACUGACUUAAAUCCUGAAAAGGAGCAAGGAAAUAUGGGGUGCUGGCAGGGAGAGAGACUGCAGUCUGUCCCUGGUGUAACAUGAAGACAGAUAGCAACUUGCUACUACAGGUAAAUGUCACAAAAUGUAAAUGUCCAGCCCAAUGCAUAUAGGAAGCCUGUCAACACAAGUGUGUGUCAUAAGCAGACCAUAUAUUAUUUCAAUAGUGCAACCAGAUGUGGAGCCUCAGGAAUUACUGGCACAUCCCAGUGAGUGUCCAGUAAGCCUGGGAAGCGCAUGUGAUAAUAGUGUAUGGAGUGUGUGUGUGUGUGUGUGCGUGUGUGUGUUUGCAAUUAGCUUGAUGUGUGUAUGUCAGUGUUUCGGUGCCAGAACAUCUCCUUCCAACCCAAACCACAACCUCUCAAAAUUCCUCUCGACUUCUGUCAGGCCCUGGCUCUGGUCUCGGGGAAAGGCGCUUGCUGCAGCCAGCUCCAUGGGG
Molecule: non-coding RNA, 2987 nt
Organism: Podarcis lilfordi (Lilford's wall lizard)
Lineage: Eukaryota; Metazoa; Chordata; Lepidosauria; Squamata; Lacertidae
Source: the annotation of a GenBank genome assembly